RNAcentral lists this ribosomal RNA (468 nucleotides) under uncultured bacterium. RNAcentral describes it as "partial 16S ribosomal RNA". It matches the Rfam family "Bacterial small subunit ribosomal RNA", at positions 28 to 507 of the family's 1533-position model. The record is from RNAcentral.
GACGAACGCUGGCGGCGUGCUUAACACAUGCAAGUCGAACGGAAAGGCCCUGCUUUUGUGGGGUGCUCGAGUGGCGAACGGGUGAGUAACACGUGAGUAACCUGCCCUUGACUUUGGGAUAACUUCAGGAAACUGGGGCUAAUACCGGAUAGGAGCUCCUGCUGCAUGGUGGGGGUUGGAAAGUUUCUGCGGGUGGGGAUGGACUCGCGGCUUAUGAGCUUGUUGGUGGGGUAGUGGCUGACCAAGGCUUUGACGGGUAGCCGGCCUGAGAGGGUGACCGGCCACAUUGGGACUGAGAUACGGCCCAGACUGCAACGGGAGGCAGCAGUGGGGAAUAUGGCACAGUGGGCGGAAGCGUGAUGCAGAAACGCCGCGUGCGGGAUGACGUCCUGCGGGUUGUAAAACGCUUUCGCCUGUGACGAAGCGUGAGUGACGGUAAUGGGUAAAGAAGCACCGGCUAACUACGUG